GCAUGCGGAUUAAUUCGAUGCAACGCGAAGAACCUUACAAGGCUUGACAUACACCGUAAGCCCAGAGAUGGGUGCCCCUUUGUGGUCGGUGUACAGGUGGUGCAUGGUUGUCGUCAGCUCGUGUCGUGAGAUGUUGGGUUAAGUCCCGCAACGAGCGCAACCCUCGACCUUAGUUGCCAGCAUUCAGUUUGGGCACUCUAAGGUGACUGCCGGCUAAAAGGUCGGAGGAAGGUGGGGAUGACGUCAAAUCAUCAUGCCCCUUAUGACCUGGGCUACACACGUGCUACAAUGGGCGGUACAAAGGGUCGCGAACCCGCGAGGGGGAGCCAAUCCCAAAAAGCCCGCUCUCAGUUCGGAUUGCAGGCUGCAACUCGCCUGCAUGAAGCCGGAAUCGCUAGUAAUCGCGGAUCAGCAUGCCGCGGUGAAUACGUUCCCGGGCCUU
RNAcentral lists this ribosomal RNA (442 nucleotides) under uncultured Anoxybacillus sp. RNAcentral describes it as "bacterial SSU rRNA". It matches the Rfam family "Bacterial small subunit ribosomal RNA", at positions 937 to 1382 of the family's 1533-position model. The record is from RNAcentral. Lineage: Bacteria; Bacillati; Bacillota; Bacilli; Caryophanales; Anoxybacillaceae.